Molecule: long non-coding RNA, 931 nt
Filed under: Solanum tuberosum (potato)
Lineage: Eukaryota; Viridiplantae; Streptophyta; Magnoliopsida; Solanales; Solanaceae
Description: long non-coding RNA (STUB_LNC008244)
Source: RNAcentral
AGAAAAGGCCAUCUUUGCUGUGCUUCCACAACAUUGUAGCCAAUCUUUCUAACGCUGCUACUCUAAAUAUAAAGAGUCAUUUUGGUGCUCCCAAGUUAUGGCAUACUAGUCUUCUCCAUGGGACUCUAUGAAAAGGUCCUGAUAUUUCCCUAUAUAGCUUCUGAAUGAAAUUUUUUUUGCAUAGAAAGAUAGUGACUUACUCAACUCUUCAACACGUUUGAUGUACGUUCUGGCAUUGUCCAAUUCAGAUUUGAGAUGCUAAGGAACAAAUUCCAGAUUUGAGCAGUGUAAUUACAGUGCAAGAAGAGGUGGCUGUUAGUUUCACUUGUCAAAUUGCAUAAAAAACACCUAGGGACCAGCUGUCUACCCUUCUUCUGAAGUACUUCUUGUGUUAAACAAGCUCUCUUUAUCACUAGCCAAGUGAAGCAUUUCACUUUUGUAGGAAUAUCCCCCUUCCAAAAAUAGUUCCAGAAGUGUGUUGGUCUCCCUGCCAUCACCUGGAGACCUCUUCUGUAAGCACUGUUGACUGAGAAAAGGCCAUCUUUGCUGUGCUUCCACAACAUUGUAGCCAAUCUUUCUAACGCUACUACUCUAAAUAUAAAGAGUCAUUUUGGUGCUCCCAAGUUAUGGCAUACUAGUCUUCUCCAUGGGACUCUAUGAAAAGGUCCUGAUAUUUCCCUAUAUAGCUUCUGAAUGAAAUUUUUUUUGCAUAGAAAGAUAGUGAUCAUAGUCGUAGCCUGCCGAUCCAAAGGACUUUUUUCGUUUAUAUGCUAGUGAUGCUUCAAUAGUUCAAUUAAUAUUAGAAAGAACAGUGAAAUCUUAUUAAUAAAUAAUGUGAGUGAGACUUUCCAGAUUGAUGAUUUAUGAAAUUUUUAGAUUUUUCUUUAGUUGUUAACGGUUGGUACUUUUAUAUUAACUAAUUUUGUUAAAC